RNAcentral lists this transfer RNA (73 nucleotides) under Ovis aries (sheep). It matches the Rfam family "tRNA". From Rfam's summary of the family: Transfer RNA (tRNA) molecules are approximately 80 nucleotides in length. Their secondary structure includes four short double-helical elements and three loops (D, anti-codon, and T loops). The record is from Rfam by way of RNAcentral. Lineage: Eukaryota; Metazoa; Chordata; Mammalia; Artiodactyla; Bovidae.
UCCCUGGUGGUCCACUGGCUAAGACUCUGCACUCCCAGUGCACUGGACCCGGGUUUGAUUCCUGGUCAGUGAA